This is a long non-coding RNA of Ixodes scapularis (black-legged tick), 278 nucleotides long. RefSeq lists it as uncharacterized. The record is from RefSeq and is a predicted model, not a curated record. The transcript has 3 exons. Lineage: Eukaryota; Metazoa; Arthropoda; Arachnida; Ixodida; Ixodidae.
CCGUGGGGUCAAAAGGCCCUGCCUCACCCCUCCUUAAUAGCAACGGUUUCCUCGUCCAAAGGAAAAGCCUACCGAAAUGGAAAUCCACACUGGAGCCUCAGAGCCACCUCAAUGCGGCUUGCCUUGUGGAGUUGGUCAACUCCAGCCAACCCACGCAGUGCCACCUGGACGCCGCAACAGACAAGCUACCUUUUGAGCUAAUGCCUGUGCUCAAGCGGAUGACAUGGGGCAGAGCGAUUGCGUACCGUCUGAGGCACUGGAUGAAACUCUGCAAAAAC